UACGUAGGGUGCGAGCGUUGCCCGGAUUUAUUGGGCGUAAAGGGCGCGUAGGCGGCUCUGCACGUCCGUUGUGAAAUCGCCCGGCUCAACUGGGCGGGGUCAGCGGAUACGGCAGAGCUCGAGCAAGCUAGGGGGCAAUGGAAUUCCCGGUGUAGUGGUGGAAUGCGUAGAUAUCGGGAGGAACACCUGAGGCGAAGGCGGGUUGCUAGGCUGACACUGACGCUGACAGCGCGAAAGCUAGGGUAGCAAACGGG
This 254-nucleotide ribosomal RNA is filed under the name uncultured bacterium. Its description in RNAcentral is "partial 16S ribosomal RNA". It matches the Rfam family "Bacterial small subunit ribosomal RNA", at positions 524 to 776 of the family's 1533-position model. The record is from RNAcentral.